RNAcentral lists this ribosomal RNA (388 nucleotides) under uncultured bacterium. Its description in RNAcentral is "bacterial SSU rRNA". It matches the Rfam family "Bacterial small subunit ribosomal RNA", at positions 28 to 410 of the family's 1533-position model. The record is from RNAcentral.
GACGAACGCUGGCGGCGUGCUUAACACAUGCAAGUCGAACGGCAGCACAGUAAGAGCUUGCUCUUAUGGGUGGCGAGUGGCGGACGGGUGAGGAAUACAUCGGAAUCUACUCUUUCGUGGGGGAUAACGUAGGGAAACUUACGCUAAUACCGCAUACGACCUACGGGUGAAAGCGGAGGACCUUCGGGCUUCGCGCGAUUGAAUGAGCCGAUGUCGGAUUAGCUAGUUGGCGGGGUAAAGGCCCACCAAGGCGACGAUCCGUAGCUGGUCUGAGAGGAUGAUCAGCCACACUGGAACUGAGACACGGUCCAGACUCCUACGGGAGGCAGCAGUGGGGAAUAUUGGACAAUGGGCGCAAGCCUGAUCCAGCCAUGCCGCGUGGGUGAAG